Molecule: long non-coding RNA, 331 nt
Filed under: Brassica rapa (field mustard)
Lineage: Eukaryota; Viridiplantae; Streptophyta; Magnoliopsida; Brassicales; Brassicaceae
Description: long non-coding RNA (BRAP_LNC001887)
Source: RNAcentral
GGGUGUUUGCGCAUGCAUAUAUUUAUAAAGCCAUGCGAUAAUUGGUGGGUAGACAAAGGUACAGCAAGGAGUAGGUAGUAAACACUAUGAAUUGUUCCUUAACUAAACAGAAGAGUCAAAGAGAGAAUCUCAGUAUAAAGCUUAAACAAUUCAUUCACUUCUCUAUAUACUUUCUUAAAGGCAAUGUCCUCUCACUAUAUAGUAGUUACUAUAUUAUGAAAAAUAUUAAUUAGCUGCAAGAUUAUAUGGGUCGAUCGUGCCCUUUCUUUUCAUGGUUUGUUGUUGCAUUAUUACAGUGGACAAUAGAUAUGAGGUGUACCAUAUUUUCCGG